RNAcentral lists this ribosomal RNA (460 nucleotides) under uncultured bacterium. RNAcentral's name for it is "partial 16S ribosomal RNA". It matches the Rfam family "Bacterial small subunit ribosomal RNA", at positions 338 to 795 of the family's 1533-position model. The record is from RNAcentral.
CCUACGGGGGGCAGCAGUGAGGAAUAUUGGUCAAUGGACGAGAGUCUGAACCAGCCAAGUAGCGUGAAGGAUGACUGCCCUAUGGGUUGUAAACUUCUUUUAUAAAGGAAUAAAACGAGGCACGUGUGCCUUUUUGCAUGUACUUUAUGAAUAAGGAUCGGCUAACUCCGUGCCAGCAGCCGCGGUAAUACGGAGGAUCCGAGCGUUAUCCGGAUUUAUUGGGGUUAAAGGGAGCGUAGAUGGGUUGUUAAGUCAGUUGUGAAAGUUUGCGGCUCAAACGUAAAAUUGCAAUUGAUACUGGCAGUCUAGAGUACAGUUGAGGUAGGCGGAAUUCGUGGUGUAGCGGUGAAAUGCUUAGAUAUCACGAAGAACCCCGAUUGCGAAGGCAGCUUACUAAACUGUGACUGACAUUGAUGCUCGAAAGUGUGGGUAUCAAACAGGAUUAGAUACCCUUGUAGUC